CCCCUUUCGGCCUCGGCGCACGACUCGGCUCAGUCCAGUUCAAGAUGCUGGCAAACAGGGCUGGUGCUUGAAAGCUUUUCGAGGAGAUAAGGUGUGUUUGAACAUGUGACGAUUGAUAUAUACAGAGUCGAGGUUUUUGCUUACUGUCCCUUUCAUGGUGGUAGCAGGGGAGGACUUUUGAAAAGGUGCCAAAUAUCUGCAAGAACAUAUAUCUGCCCCAUAGAGGAUUUCUGUAGAAUUCAAUUCCAUUUAAACUAUUUUAAAUCGUUUUUCUGCCAACCAGCCCCAGCCUUCUGAAGCUCAACAUAGUAACUAGACUAGCUAUUCUAUCAAUACAGCUAUCUUAAGAAAACUGUCAGCUGCUUGAAUUUACAAAGGUUAGUUCUAAAUCCCAUACUUUUGACUAUUCUAAACAUUGUAUGUUUCAAAGUAUCCUUUUAAAAACUUGUUUUUUUGUGCUUACAGUUUUUCCUAUAAUAGAUUAUUUUGAUGAUUAAAUUUUACCCCUUAGACAGAAAACGAUCAGUGGAUUCCUAAGGAUCAGGGAGGAGUUUUUUGCAUAGGGUUUGGUGGGGGUUGGGUGUUGAAGAACUGCUCUACACUUUGAUUAUGGUGCUGAUUGCCUUUGUCAAAUUUUGGAGUGAGUUUUACCAAAUGUAAAUUCAACUUCAAUAAACAUGGCUUUAAAAACUUACCCUUUCUGGCAUCUUAAUGACAUUUCCAAUGAAAUCUGUGGGAAGACAGUCUUCGGUCGGUAAUUGAAUGAUUUACUGAGAUUAAAGUGGCAAAAACAUCAAAAUUACCUUGGGGCCAUGUAAGUGACUCUUGCACAUAUACUCAAGAAACUAUCAGUGUAUAUCCUCACCCAUCAAGGGUGUACAGGUUCUCUUUAUGGAUGGUUCAGGCAACAGCACAUACUCAUUGUCUUAACAGCUGCAAUUUCAAUCCCAUU
Molecule: long non-coding RNA, 952 nt
Organism: Physeter macrocephalus (sperm whale)
Lineage: Eukaryota; Metazoa; Chordata; Mammalia; Artiodactyla; Physeteridae
Exons: 3
Source: RefSeq, a predicted model, not a curated record